CCCCUAGAUGUUCUGGGCCGCACGCGCGCUACACUGAACAGUUCAACAAGUCUUAACCUUGGCCGAUAGGUCUGGGUAAUCUUUGAACGCUGUUCGUGAUUGGGAUAGACCUUUGCAAUUAUGGGUCUUCAACGAGGAAUUCCUAGUAAACGCAAGUCAUCAGCUUGCAUUGAUUACGUCCCUGCCCUUUGUACACACCGCCCGUCGCAACUACCGAUUGAAUGGUCCGGUGAAAUCUCGGGACGGCGGCUUGGUCGCUUGCGUCCGACUGCUGAAACUUGAUUAAACCAUAUCAUUUAGAGGAAGGUGAAGUCGUANCA
Molecule: ribosomal RNA, 320 nt
Filed under: uncultured eukaryote
Lineage: Eukaryota
Description: partial 18S ribosomal RNA
Rfam family: Eukaryotic small subunit ribosomal RNA
Source: RNAcentral